Molecule: ribosomal RNA, 433 nt
Filed under: uncultured bacterium
Lineage: Bacteria
Description: partial 16S ribosomal RNA
Rfam family: Bacterial small subunit ribosomal RNA
Source: RNAcentral
GACGAACGCUGGCGGCAUGCCUAACACAUGCAAGUCGAACGAAAACUUCGGGUCUUGUUGCGCACGGGUGCGUAAGGCGGGGGAACCUACCCUUAGGUUCCGAAUAACUCACCGAGAGGGGUGCUAAUAACGGAUAAUGUCAUCCCACCAAAGAUUUAUCGCCUUAGGCUGGGCCCGCGUUGGAUUCGCUAGUUGGUAGGGUAAACGCCUACCAAGGCGACGAUGCAUAGCUGGUCUGAGAGGAGGAUCAGCAAGACUAGGACUGAGACACGGACCAGACUCGUACGGAAGGGAGCAGUGGGGAAUAUUGGACAAGGGGCGAAAGCGUGAUCAAGCCACGCCGCGGAAGUGAUGAAGGGCGUAGGGUUGUAAAGCUCCUUUACCCGGGACGAUAAUGACAGUACCGGGAGAAUAAGCACCGGCUAACUCCGUG